UACGUAGGGUGCAAGCGUUGUCCGGAAUUAUUGGGCGUAAAGAGCUCGUAGGCGGUUUGUCGCGUCUGCUGUGAAAACUCGGGGCUUAACCCCGGGCCUGCAGUGGGUACGGGCAGACUAGAGUGUGGUAGGGGAGACUGGAAUUCCUGGUGUAGCGGUGAAAUGCGCAGAUAUCGGGAGGAACACCUGUGGCGAAAGCGGCGCACUGGACCACAACUGACGCUGAGGCGCGAAAGCUAGGGGAGCAAACAGG
Molecule: ribosomal RNA, 253 nt
Filed under: uncultured bacterium
Lineage: Bacteria
Description: partial 16S ribosomal RNA
Rfam family: Bacterial small subunit ribosomal RNA
Source: RNAcentral